RNAcentral lists this ribosomal RNA (116 nucleotides) under uncultured eukaryote. RNAcentral's name for it is "partial small subunit ribosomal RNA". It matches the Rfam family "Bacterial small subunit ribosomal RNA", at positions 1410 to 1525 of the family's 1533-position model. The record is from RNAcentral.
GUGGGUUGCAAAAGAAGUAGGUAGCUUAACCUUCGGGAGGGCGCUUACCACUUUGUGAUUCAUGACUGGGGUGAAGUCGUAACAAGGUAACCGUAGGUGAACCUGCAGAAGGAUCA